AGAAAGUUAGUCUAAGCAAGACAGUUGAUUUCGACUCAACAGACCAUAGCUUGUCCUAUGACUUUCUU
This 68-nucleotide transfer RNA is filed under the name Cacatua goffiniana (Tanimbar cockatoo). RNAcentral describes it as "tRNA-Arg". It matches the Rfam family "tRNA". Rfam says of the family: Transfer RNA (tRNA) molecules are approximately 80 nucleotides in length. Their secondary structure includes four short double-helical elements and three loops (D, anti-codon, and T loops). Further hydrogen bonds mediate the characteristic L-shaped molecular structure. tRNAs have two regions of fundamental functional importance: the anti-codon, which is responsible for specific mRNA codon recognition, and the 3' end, to which the tRNAs corresponding amino acid is attached (by aminoacyl-tRNA synthetases). tRNAs cope with the degeneracy of the genetic code in two manners: having more than one tRNA (with a specific anti-codon) for a particular amino acid; and 'wobble' base-pairing, i.e. permitting non-standard base-pairing at the 3rd anti-codon position. The record is from RNAcentral. RNAcentral also lists the same sequence under 2 other names. Lineage: Eukaryota; Metazoa; Chordata; Aves; Psittaciformes; Cacatuidae.